Long non-coding RNA from Sciurus carolinensis (gray squirrel), 692 nucleotides. RefSeq lists it as uncharacterized. Lineage: Eukaryota; Metazoa; Chordata; Mammalia; Rodentia; Sciuridae. The transcript is spliced from 13 exons. The record is from RefSeq and is a predicted model, not a curated record.
CAUAUCGGUCUUUCGGGGCUGCGAGUCUGCCGGGUAGGCGGGUGUCCUCUGAAAUGCUUCAGCUUCCCGGAGUAGCAGCAGUAUGGCUCCACAUGGCAUCUUGUGGACAGUUAUAUGCCAAAGGAAUGAGUACGGAGGUCCUAAACAGCCUCAAUAUCUGGGCACAAGGUACUAGAUAGAACAGAAGUAGAAAUGGUGGAGUCUGAUUUGUUUGGGCCAGCUUUAUUUUUCUAUUACUGGACAUACAUUUUGAUCUGGAUGGUGUGACUGGGUCCAGUUUGGAGACCUUUUUAAAUAAAGGUACAAAGAAUCACCUUGGGAAGCAGUGUGUAAGAAGUUGAAAGCAAAGGCAGGAGUGAAGCUGGGCAAGAUUUUUAUAUGCCUGUCAUCCCAUCUUCAUUAGCCUGAAGCAUGACCAUUGCCUGAGCCCAGGAGUCGGUGGGUCAGCCGAAGCAAUAUAGUUGCCUCACGAUUGGAAGGUGUGUGAAAUUCUGAGCUCUUUAAGGGCUUUUGUGGCACCUGCAGGCACAUCACAAUCCUUAGAAAGGCAGCUGGAAUGGAUUCUCUUGGGAUAGAAGAUUGAAUGCGUCCAUCACUUCAGUUUCUGAAAGUUUUUGGGGCUGAGGGUUGUACCCAUGAAGUGUAUUUCAAGUAGGAUGGGGAAGGGAAUAAAUAUGCCUAAUAAAACUAAU